This 468-nucleotide ribosomal RNA is filed under the name uncultured bacterium. RNAcentral's name for it is "partial 16S ribosomal RNA". It matches the Rfam family "Bacterial small subunit ribosomal RNA", at positions 28 to 507 of the family's 1533-position model. The record is from RNAcentral.
GACGAACGCUGGCGGCGUGCUUAACACAUGCAAGUCGAACGGAAAGGCCCUGCUUUUGUGGGGUGCUCGAGUGGCGAACGGGUGAGUAACACGUGAGUAACCUGCCCUUGACUUUGGGAUAACUUCAGGAAACUGGGGCUAAUACCGGAUAGGAGCUCCUGCUGCAUGGUGGGGGUUGGAAAGUUUCGGCGGUUGGGGAUGGACUCGCGGCUUAUCAGCUUGUUGGUGGGGUAGUGGCUUACCAAGGCUUUGACGGGUAGCCGGCCUGAGAGGGUGACCGGGCACCAUGGGACUGAGGUACGGCCCAGACGCCUACGGGAGGCAGCAGGGGGGAAUAUUGCACAAUGGGCGGGAGCCUGAGGCAGCAACGCCGCGUGCGGGAUGACGGCCUUCGGGUUGUGAACCGCUUUCGGCUGUGACGAAGCGGUAGUGACGGUAAUGGGUAAAGAAGCACCGGCUAACUUCGUG